UAUCUACUCACUGCCUGAGGCUCUUCAUC
RNAcentral lists this non-coding RNA (29 nucleotides) under Mus musculus (house mouse). Lineage: Eukaryota; Metazoa; Chordata; Mammalia; Rodentia; Muridae. The record is from RNAcentral.